This 487-nucleotide ribosomal RNA is filed under the name uncultured bacterium. RNAcentral describes it as "bacterial SSU rRNA". It matches the Rfam family "Bacterial small subunit ribosomal RNA", at positions 30 to 511 of the family's 1533-position model. The record is from RNAcentral.
AUUGAACGCUGGCGGCAUGCCUUACACAUGCAAGUCGAACGGUAACAGGGAGCUUGCUCCGCUGACGAGUGGCGAACGGGUGAGUAAUGUAUCGGAACGUACCAUUCAGUGGGGGAUAACGUAGCGAAAGUUACGCUAAUACCGCAUAUUCUGUGAGCAGGAAAGCAGGGGAUCGCAAGACCUUGCGCUGAUUGAGCGGCCGAUAUCAGAUUAGCUAGUUGGUGAGGUAAAGGCUCACCAAGGUGACGAUCUGUAGCGGGUCUGAGAGGAUGAUCGCCACACUGGAACUGAGACACGGUCCAGACUCCUACGGGAGGCAGCAGUGGGGAAUUUUGGACAAUGGGGGCAACCCUGAUCCAGCCAUGCCGCGUGAGUGAAGAAGGCCUUCGGGUUGUAAAGCUCUUUCGGCCGGGAAAAAUCGCAUCAGUUAAUACCUGGUGUGGAUGAUGGUACCGGAAUAAGAAGACACCGGCUAACUACGUGACCG